GUUACAACCACCACGUUGUCAAAGGCUGCUAUUGCUGAGCCAUCAUAUGAUGAAGCUGCUCCAACAAGUAAUCCACCUCCAUGGAUCCAUACUAAGACCUGGGAAGAGAAAAACGGGAUCAACCCAGCACAGACUUAUCUGCAAGUAUUCUUCAUUUAGGUUGUAAGAUGGCCAUUCAACCAGACCCUCUCCAUUAGGAUUUCUGUAAGCAAGAGGAAAGAAGAGUGAGUGCCCUUUUCAGUCACAGGGGAAUUCAAUCACACAAGUUAAGACUGAAUCAAUAAACCAGUCAAUUCCCCUGGAGUCAGUGAAAAGCAGCAAUAUCUGUCAUGAAUUUCAUGAUUCGUACCCAUUUCGAGCAAAGUUAGCCCAGUACUUCAUUAGAGUUCUGCUGAGGGUCUUCUCUUCCUCUGUAACUUCACCUGAAAGACAAAAUACAGAAUAGUUACUCUGUGUGGCAGAAAUCAAGACAUUGCUGCUACAGCAGCAGCAUUUCCCUGUGUGAA
This is a non-coding RNA of Taeniopygia guttata (zebra finch), 506 nucleotides long. NCBI's taxonomy places the organism in Eukaryota, Metazoa, Chordata, Aves, Passeriformes, Estrildidae. The record is from RefSeq and is a predicted model, not a curated record.